CAGCCGUAAACUAUGCGCGUUAGGUGUAUCGGUGACCACGAGUUACCGAGGUGCCGAAGGGAAACCGUGAAACGUGCCGCCUGGGAAGUACGGUCGCAAGGCUGAAACUUAAAGGAAUUGGCGGGGGAGCGCCACAACAGGUGGAGCCUGCGGUUUAAUUGGACUCAACGCCGGGAAGCUCACCGGAUAGGACAGCAGAAUGAUUGCCGGGCUGAAGACCCUGCAUGACUAGCUGAGAGGAGGUGCAUGGCGUAGACGUCU
RNAcentral lists this ribosomal RNA (261 nucleotides) under uncultured archaeon. RNAcentral's name for it is "partial 16S ribosomal RNA". It matches the Rfam family "Archaeal small subunit ribosomal RNA", at positions 748 to 1009 of the family's 1478-position model. The record is from RNAcentral.